Molecule: long non-coding RNA, 589 nt
Filed under: Marmota monax (woodchuck)
Lineage: Eukaryota; Metazoa; Chordata; Mammalia; Rodentia; Sciuridae
Source: RNAcentral
GAGCAAUUAGGGGUGACAGAUUCUGGUAUUCCUGGGCAAGGGACCUUGCCAUUUUGAGCCUCAGUUUCCCCUGGUGACAUGAGGACAAUGAGGUGUCCUCCUCCUGGGGCCAGCAGGACAGGUCUGUGCUUCCUGCUCGGUGCUCCCCCAGCAGCUGGCCCAGGCAGCACGUGCCACCUAGAGCCCCGAGCCCUGGCCACCCAGAGCCCCGAGUCCUGGUGACCUAGAGCCCUGAGUCCUGGUGACCUAGAGCCCUGAGUCCUGGCCACCCAGAGCCCUGAGUCCUGGCGGGUGUUGUGGGUCCUUUGGGAUUUGGGAACGUGAGGCCCUAGGUAAAGGGGAGGAGAGCCCUCGCUUCACCAGCACAGGGAAUAGAGGCCAGGGGAGUCUAGAGACCUGCCCAGGACCUCAGCGUUCCCUGAACUGAACCAGGAGUCUCCUACAGCCAGGCUGCUCCCUGGGCACAGGUCCCGCUGGCUUGCCUGGACGUGAGGAGUGUCCCCGGGGCAGGCAGCACCUGCCCGCUGCCUCCUCCCAUAGUCACAGGUCCAGGGACGGCAGGACUCCCAAGUCACCGGUGGCAUUUGAG